Molecule: ribosomal RNA, 407 nt
Filed under: uncultured bacterium
Lineage: Bacteria
Description: bacterial SSU rRNA
Rfam family: Bacterial small subunit ribosomal RNA
Source: RNAcentral
CAGCAGCCGCGGUAAUACGUAGGGUGCGAGCGUUAAUCGGAAUUACUGGGCGUAAAGCGUGCGCAGGCGGUUCGUCAAGUCUGAUGUGAAAGCCCCGGGCUCAACCUGGGAACUGCAUUGGAUACUAGCGAGCUUGAGUGUGGCAGAGGGGGGUGGAAUUCCACGUGUAGCAGUGAAAUGCGUAGAGAUGUGGAGGAACACCGAUGGCGAAGGCAGCCCCCUGGGCUGACACUGACGCUCAGGCACGAAAGCGUGGGGAGCAAACAGGAUUAGAUACCCUGGUAGUCCACGCCCUAAACGAUGUCAACUGGGUGUUGGGGAAGCGAUUUCUCAGUACCGUAGCUAACGCGUGAAGUUGACCGCCUGGGGAGUACGGCCGCAAGGUUAAAACUCAAAGGAAUUGACGG